UACGUAGGGUGCAAGCGUUUAAUCGGAAUUACUGGGCGUAAAGCGUGCGCAGGCGGUGAUGUAAGACAGAUGUGAAAUCCCCGGGCUCAACCUGGGAACUGCAUUUGUGACUGCAUCGCUGGAGUGCGGCAGAGGGGGAUGGAAUUUCGCGUGUAGCAGUGAAAUGCGUAGAUAUGCGGAGGAACACCGAUGGCGGAAGGCAAUCCCCUGGGCCUGCACUGACGCUUAUGCACGAAAGCGUGGGGGAGCAAACAGG
Molecule: ribosomal RNA, 256 nt
Filed under: uncultured bacterium
Lineage: Bacteria
Description: partial 16S ribosomal RNA
Rfam family: Bacterial small subunit ribosomal RNA
Source: RNAcentral